Molecule: ribosomal RNA, 254 nt
Filed under: uncultured prokaryote
Description: partial 16S ribosomal RNA
Rfam family: Bacterial small subunit ribosomal RNA
Source: RNAcentral
UACGUAGGUGGCAAGCGUUGUCCGGAUUUACUGGGCGUAAAGGGCGUGCAGGCGGCUUGUUAAGUGCAGGGUGAAAGCUCCCGGCUCAACUGGGAGAGGUCCUUGCAUACUGGCGAGCUCGAGGGAGGCAGAGGAAAGUGGAAUUCCCGGUGUAGUGGUGAUAUGCGUAGAUAUCGGGAGGAACACCUGUGGCGAAGGCGGCUUUCUGGGCCUUACCUGACGCUGAGACGCGAAAGCGUGGGGGGCGAACCGGA